UGCAAGUCGAACGGCAGCACGGACUUCGGUCUGGUGGCGAGUGGCGAACGGGUGAGUAAUGUAUCGGAACGUGCCCAGUAGCGGGGGAUAACUACGCGAAAGCGUAGCUAAUACCGCAUACGCCCUACGGGGGAAAGCAGGGGAUCGCAAGACCUUGCACUAUUGGAGCGGCCGAUAUCGGAUUAGCUAGUUGGUGGGGUAACGGCUCACCAAGGCGACGAUCCGUAGCUGGUUUGAGAGGACGACCAGCCACACUGGGACUGAGACACGGCCCCAGACUCCUACGGGAAGGCAGCAGUGGGGGAUUUUGGGACAAUGGGGGAAACCCCUGAUCCAGCCAUCCCGGGUGGUGCGAUUAAGGGCCUUCGGUUGGAAAGCACUUUUGGCAAGAAAGAAACGUUCUGGGGUAAUAACCCGUGGAACUGAACGGUACUGGAGAAUAAGCACCGGCUAACUAACUGGGCACAGCCCGGUAAUAACUAAGUGGAAGCGUUAUC
This 497-nucleotide ribosomal RNA is filed under the name Achromobacter aegrifaciens. Its description in RNAcentral is "bacterial SSU rRNA". It matches the Rfam family "Bacterial small subunit ribosomal RNA", at positions 56 to 545 of the family's 1533-position model. The record is from RNAcentral. Lineage: Bacteria; Pseudomonadati; Pseudomonadota; Betaproteobacteria; Burkholderiales; Alcaligenaceae.